AAUUUGUAUGUUGCUGUUGAUCACACAAAUCGUUUUAUAGAGAACUAGCAUUGAUGAUUCCCUAAAUUCCCAAAAUAUAUACCAAAAAAAACUAAUGGUGCAUUAGUGACUUCACAGUGAGUGUGACAUGCUUUGUCCAGUGCUCUUCCAGAUGCGCAGGACGGCAAGAAGCAUCCUUACUGAGAGCAACCACAAGCUACCCCUUACCACCUCACCUGGUGCCACCAGGUCUUCUCAUCACCCCUUCACAUUCUAGCUUCCCUGAAGGAGGAAUUCAACAGAAGCUUGCAGAAUUAUCAUACAUAAUUUGUAGUGGGAUGAACAAUUGCUUCAUUGAGCUAAGUCCUGUUUGUACUCUGGAACCUGAAAAAAUUGGCAGUCCUGACUGCAUGAUGUGAGGAGAAUAACACACUGGGAGAACAUCUGCUGUCCCAACUGUGACUUGGAAGGAAAUUUGACAAAAUCCAGAUGUUGCUGAACUGAGAUUUGGCCAUGUGGCUUCCAGUGACUGAAUAGUUUUUACUGCCUCUUGUUCAGAAAGACAGAGUUAGUUAAAAAUGUGGACUCCUGUAUUGGAGGCAUCUGAGAUGAAUCUUUGCCAGAAAACAGGAGUGGGAGAGAUUGACAUGAUCACCAUAUAAAGCUGUAGCCUAUGCUCUGUACACUCUCCUGGUGCUUACGGUAAGUUAACCCCAUGACAGAUGAUUGCAGUUCAUUUUUUAAUAAAUCAAUGCAAUAAAUA
This is a long non-coding RNA of Cygnus atratus (black swan), 742 nucleotides long. RefSeq lists it as uncharacterized. The record is from RefSeq and is a predicted model, not a curated record. The transcript is spliced from 3 exons. NCBI's taxonomy places the organism in Eukaryota, Metazoa, Chordata, Aves, Anseriformes, Anatidae.